This 482-nucleotide ribosomal RNA is filed under the name uncultured bacterium. RNAcentral's name for it is "partial 16S ribosomal RNA". It matches the Rfam family "Bacterial small subunit ribosomal RNA", at positions 29 to 523 of the family's 1533-position model. The record is from RNAcentral.
AGUGAACGUUGGCGGCGUGGAUUAGGCAUGCAAGUCGAGCGAGAACCGUAGCAAUACGGGGACAGCGGCGAAAGGGACAGUCAUGUGUAGGUACCUACCUCCGGGUUCGGGAUAGCUGCGAGAAACUGCAGGAAAUACCGAAUAACGUCUCCGGACCAAAGGUGUCAUUCCACCUGGAGAUGUGCCUGCAUCCUAGUAGCUUGUUGGCGGGGUAACGGCCCACCAAGGCGACGAUGGGCAGCUGGUGUGAGAGCACGACCCGCGUCAUUGGGACUGAGACACUGCCCAGACACCUACGGGUGGCUGCAGUCGUGAAUCUUCGGCAAUGGGCGCAAGCCUGACCGAGCGACGCCGCGUGCGGGAUGAAGGCCUUCGGGUUGUAAACCGCUGUCGUAGAGGAGGAAAUGCAGGGGGGUUCUCCCCUCUGUUCGACCUAUUCUAGGAGGAAGUACGGGCUAAGUUCGUGCCAGCCGCCGCAGUAA